This 1043-nucleotide ribosomal RNA is filed under the name Lacticaseibacillus sp. RNAcentral's name for it is "bacterial SSU rRNA". The record is from RNAcentral. Lineage: Bacteria; Bacillati; Bacillota; Bacilli; Lactobacillales; Lactobacillaceae.
GAUGAACGCUGGCGGCGUGCCUAAUACAUGCAAGUCGAACGAGUUUUGGUCGAUGAACGGUGCUUGCAUCGUGAUUCAACUUAAAACGAGUGGCGGACGGGUGAGUAACACGUGGGUAACCUGCCCUUAAGUGGGGGAUAACAUUUGGAAACAGAUGCUAAUACCGCAUAAAUCCAAGAACCGCAUGGUUCUUGGCUGAAAGAUGGCGUAAGCUAUCGCUUUUGGAUGGACCCGCGGCGUAUUAGCUAGUUGGUGAGGUAACGGCUCACCAAGGCGAUGAUACGUAGCCGAACUGAGAGGUUGAUCGGCCACAUUGGGACUGAGACACGGCCCAAACUCCUACGGGAGGCAGCAGUAGGGAAUCUUCCACAAUGGACGCAAGUCUGAUGGAGCAACGCCGCGUGAGUGAAGAAGGCUUUCGGGUCGUAAAACUCUGUUGUUGGAGAAGAAUGGUCGGCAGAGUAACUGUUGUCGGCGUGACGGUAUCCAACCAGAAAGCCACGGCUAACUACGUGCCAGCAGCCGCGGUAAUACGUAGGUGGCAAGCGUUAUCCGGAUUUAUUGGGCGUAAAGCGAGCGCAGGCGGUUUUUUAAGUCUGAUGUGAAAGCCCUCGGCUUAACCGAGGAAGCGCAUCGGAAACUGGGAAACUUGAGUGCAGAAGAGGACAGUGGAACUCCAUGUGUAGCGGUGAAAUGCGUAGAUAUAUGGAAGAACACCAGUGGCGAAGGCGGCUGUCUGGUCUGUAACUGACGCUGAGGCUCGAAAGCAUGGGUAGCGAACAGGAUUAGAUACCCUGGUAGUCCAUGCCGUAAACGAUGAAUGCUAGGUGUUGGAGGGUUUCCGCCCUUCAGUGCCGCAGCUAACGCAUUAAGCAUUCCGCCUGGGGAGUACGACCGCAAGGUUGAAACUCAAAGGAAUUGACGGGGGCCCGCACAAGCGGUGGAGCAUGUGGUUUAAUUCGAAGCAACGCGAAGAACCUUACCAGGUCUUGACAUCUUUUGAUCACCUGAGAGAUCAGGAUGCCSGCUUCGGGUGAUACAAA